AUUGAACGCUGGCGGCAGGCCUAACACAUGCAAGUCGAACGGUAACAGGAAGAAGCUUGCUUCUUUGCUGACGAGUGGCGGACGGGUGAGUAAUGUCUGGGAAACUGCCUGAUGGAGGGGGAUAACUACUGGAAACGGUAGCUAAUACCGCAUAAUGUCGCAAGGCCAAAGAGGGGGACCUUCGGGCCUCUUGCCAUCGGAUGUGCCCAGAUGGGAUUAGCUAGUAGGUGGGGUAACGGCUCACCUAGGCGACGAUCCCUAGCUGGUCUGAGAGGAUGACCAGCCACACUGGAACUGAGACACGGUCCAGACUCCUACGGGAGGCAGCAGUGGGGAAUAUUGCACAAUGGGCGCAAGCCUGAUGCAGCUAUGCCGCGUGUAUGAAGAAGGCCUUCGGGUUGUAAAGUACUUUCAGCGGGGAGGAAGGGAGUAAAGUUAAUACCUUUGCUCAUUGACGUUACCCGCAGAAGAAGCACCGGCUAACUCCGUG
Molecule: ribosomal RNA, 490 nt
Filed under: uncultured bacterium
Lineage: Bacteria
Description: partial 16S ribosomal RNA
Rfam family: Bacterial small subunit ribosomal RNA
Source: RNAcentral